CCCGGGCUCCGCCCCAGAGCGUACUGUGGCGGUACUCUCCGAGCUGCGGUCGGUGAGCGCCCGCGAAGGCGACGGCGCUACGUUCGAGUGCACCGUGUCGGAGGUCGAGAUCACGGGGCGCUGGGAGCUCGGAGGCCGCCCGCUGAGACCCGGAGCCCGCGUCCGCAUCCGACAGGAAGGGAAGAAACACAUUCUGGUGCUUAGCGAGCUGCGCGCCGAGGACGCCGGUGAAGUCCGCUUCCAGGCGGGGCCCGCCCAGUCCCUGGCUCUACUGGAAGUGGAGGCAUUGCCUCUCCAGAUGUGCCGCCACCCCCCUCGCGAGAAGACCGUUCUGGUGGGCCGCCGGGCGGUGCUGGAGGUGACUGUGUCCCGCUCGGGGGGCCACGUGUGCUGGCUGCGGGAGGGGGCCGAGCUGUGCCCGGGAGAUAAGUAUGAGAUGCGCAGCCACGGCCCCACCCACAGCCUGGUCAUCCAUGACGUUCGACCUGAGGACCAAGGCACUUACUGCUGCCAGGCCGGCCAGGACAGCACCCACACACGGCUGCUGGUAGAGGCCCCAUGUGGAGUCAUUCCUCUGCAGGUAACUAGGAGGACCUAACCAGACCAGGCGGGUGCCCUUGGACAGCUUGGAAGGCGUUUGCCCUUACCGUGGGCAGGGGUAGAGAGACAAGGAACAAUAAAAGUGCUACAGCUC
RNAcentral lists this small RNA (694 nucleotides) under Pan troglodytes (chimpanzee). RNAcentral's name for it is "retained intron". The record is from RNAcentral. Lineage: Eukaryota; Metazoa; Chordata; Mammalia; Primates; Hominidae.